CCAGACUCCUACGGGAGGCAGCAGUAGGGAAUCUUCGGCAAUGGACGAAAGUCUGACCGAGCAACGCCGCGUGAGUGAAGAAGGUUUUCGGAUCGUAAGACUCUGUUGGUAGAGAAGAACGUUGGUGAGAGUGGAAAGCUCAUCAAGUGACGGUAACUACCCAGAAAGGGACGGCUAACUACGUGCCAGCAGCCGCGGUAAUACGUAGGUCCCGAGCGUUGUCCGGAUUUAUUGGGCGUAAAGCGAGCGCAGGUGGUUUAUUAAGUCUGGUGUAAAAGGCAGUGGCUCAACCAUUGUAUGCAUUGGAAACUGGUAGACUUGAGUGCAGGAGAGGAGAGUGGAAUUCCAUGUGUAGCGGUGAAGUGCGUAGAUAUAUGGAGGAACACCGGUGGCGAAAGCGGCUCUCUGGCCUGUAACUGACACUGAGGCUCGAAAGCGUGGGGAGCAAACAGGAUUAGAUACCCUGGUGGUCCACGCCGUAAACGAUGAGUGCUAGAUGUAGGGAGCUAUAAGUUCUCUGUAUCGCAGCUAACGCAAUAAGCACUCCGCCUGGGGAGUACGACCGCAAGGUUGAAACUCAAAGGAAUUGACGGAGGCCCGCACAAG
Molecule: ribosomal RNA, 606 nt
Filed under: uncultured bacterium
Lineage: Bacteria
Description: bacterial SSU rRNA
Rfam family: Bacterial small subunit ribosomal RNA
Source: RNAcentral